ACGUCAAGCUUUGCCGAACUGCAUUGUAGUUCCGUCGCGUCGCUUUGCCUCCGUUGCUCGUGCUGAAAGUUGAGAAAAUUUCAACUUUUCAGGCCAGCGAGCCAUUU
Long non-coding RNA from Notothenia coriiceps (black rockcod), 107 nucleotides. RefSeq lists it as uncharacterized. The record is from RefSeq and is a predicted model, not a curated record. The transcript has 3 exons. NCBI's taxonomy places the organism in Eukaryota, Metazoa, Chordata, Actinopteri, Perciformes, Nototheniidae.